CGUCGGCAGAAGCAGCGCGAGCAGCGGGAGCGGGCGGCGGCGGCAUCUCCAGAGAGGAGAGCGUCUCCUCUACAAGGGGCUCUGGCCCGCCUCCAACUCCAUCCACGGCAACAAUUUUUGCCUGCGAGGCAUCCCGUGCGGCAGCACCUCGUCCACGCUUCCCCUUCGGACGGCCUUUUCGUCCGACACUUACGCUACCUCGACUGCUGGCAGAUUCACUGCCCGAGCAUCCACCCUCCGUCUCCAUCGGAGAUGGAGCCAUCGCCCACCUACCCUCUAAACUUUUCCUCGAGCAAGCUCACUUACCCGAUAAGAAAGCUUAGGCGGUACACGCACAGCUGAUGCGCGAGAGUAAUCACGCGCGGGAGAGGGAACACCUGCGCUCUCGCGAAAGCUCUCUCACGAAAGCGCUCUCUCGAAAGCGCUCUCUCGAAAGCGCUCUCCUAAGCACACGCGGCGUGCACGUGUAUGGAAUUUUCCCAAAAGGAAAACGCCGAUUUCCGCGUUCGUCGCUAAUUUUCCGCAAAUAUUUUUGCACCACCGUAUUCCUUUCGUUAAGGCACGAAUUUUAACGCAAAAUUUGUCUUUGUACACCAAGUACUUCUCAAGAUAUGACGAAAUGACUGGGACCACGAGAAAACACACGUCCGUCGUUAAUCCAUUCAUGCGCGUCACUAAUUAGAUGACGAGGCAUUUGGCUACCUUAAGAGAGUCAUAGUUACUCCCGCCGUUGACCCGCGCUUACUUGAAUUUCUUCACUUUGACAUUCAGAGCACUGGGCAGAAAUCACAUUGUGUCAACACCCGCUAGGGCCAUCACAAUGCUUUGUUUUAAUUAGACAGUCGGAUUCCCCAAGUCCGUGCCAGUUCUGAAUUGAUUGUUAAUUGAUAAUCGUUAUAAUUAAUAAGAACUAAUUGGUUUAACCCAAUUAGUAUUCUUAAAAAUUUUAGCAAGAAAGUUCCACAAUUGGCUACGUAACUAAACUAUCCGGGGAACAAGUGACCAACAUAAAUGCCAGACACUCUAUUUACCCAGAACGAGCACAUAAACCAUGUUAUUGUUUCCCAAUCAAGCCCGACUAUCUCAAUCUUCAGAGCCAAUCCUUAUCCCGAAGUUACGGAUCUAAUUUGCCGACUUCCCUUACCUACAUUAUUCUAUCGACUAGAGACUCUUCACCUUGGAGACCAGCUGCGGAUAUUGGUACGGCCUGUUGAGAAGUUUGCGUGUCCCCACCAUAAAUUUUCAAGGUCCGAGGAGAAAAUAUCGACACAACAGUAUAUGUCAUGCUCUUCUAGCCCAUCUACCAUAUCUCUCUGCGAAAGACUUCCAUGGUAGUACGGCUAUAAAACAGAAAAGAAAACUCUUCCGAUAUCUCUCGACGGCUUCUUUAUGGUCGUUCCUGUUGCCAGGAUGAGCACGAGGCCCAUAUUUAAUAACAAACGGAUACUCAACAGGUUACGGAAUUGGAACCGUAUUCCCUUUCGUUCAAAAUUAUUCAAGUAUAUUAAUUAGCUUGAUUUAUAUAAUAUAAUAUAUUUGUAUGGCAUUUGUGUUUUACUUGAAAAUUUUCGGCUUUCGCCUUGAACUUAGGACCGACUAACUCGUGAUCAACCACUGUUCACACGAAACCCUUCUCCACUUCAGUCCUCCAAGGUCUCAUUCGAUUAUUUGCUACUACCACCAAGAUCUGUACCAAUGGCAGCUCCAUGCAGGCUUGCGCCAAACACUUCUACGCAUACCAUUGUACCUUCCUACUCACUAAAGUUUCAAAAUUUAUAUCACAAGUAAUAUAAAUCAUCUACUUUAGCGGUAAUGUAUAGGUAUACAACUUAAGCGCCAUCCAUUUUAAGGGCUAGUUGCUUCGGCAGGUGAGUUGUUACACACUCCUUAGCGGAUUUCGACUUCCAUGAUCACCGUCCUGCUGUUUUAAGCAACCAACGCCUUUCAUGGUAUCUGCAUGAGUUGUUAAUUUGGGCACCGUAACAUUACGUUUGGUUCAUC
Drosophila suzukii is the source of this 2001-nucleotide non-coding RNA. The record is from RefSeq and is a predicted model, not a curated record. Lineage: Eukaryota; Metazoa; Arthropoda; Insecta; Diptera; Drosophilidae.